GACAGAGGUGGCAAGCGUUAUUCGGAUUUAUUGGGCGUAAAGGGCGCGUAGGCGGCCAGGUGCGUCCGGUGUGAAAGCGCUACCGCUUAACGGAGCGACUGCACUGGAUACGGCUUGGCUUGAGCCGGGAGAGGUGAGUGGAAUUCCUGGUGUAGCGGUGGAAUGCGUAGAUAUCAGGAAGAACACCAGUGGCGAAGGCGGCUCACUGGCCCGGCACUGACGCUGAGGCGCGAAAGCGUGGGGAGCAAACGGG
Molecule: ribosomal RNA, 253 nt
Filed under: uncultured bacterium
Lineage: Bacteria
Description: partial 16S ribosomal RNA
Rfam family: Bacterial small subunit ribosomal RNA
Source: RNAcentral